Molecule: ribosomal RNA, 644 nt
Filed under: cf. Heterocephalobellus sp. Konza IVFF-145
Lineage: Eukaryota; Metazoa; Nematoda; Chromadorea; Rhabditida; Cephalobidae
Description: SSU rRNA
Rfam family: Eukaryotic small subunit ribosomal RNA
Source: RNAcentral
GGCGAUCAGAUACCGCCCUAGUUCUGACCGUAAACGAUGCCAACUAGCGAUCCGCCGGUGGAUUUUUAGCCAUGGUGGGUAGCUUCCCGGAAACGAAAGUCUUCCGGUUCCGGGGGAAGUAUGGUUGCAAAGCUGAAACUUAAAGGAAUUGACGGAAGGGCACCACCAGGAGUGGAGCCUGCGGCUUAAUUUGACUCAACACGGGGAAACUCACCCGGCCCGGACACCGUAAGGAUUGACAGAUUGAUAGCUCUUUCAUGAUUCGGUGGUUGGUGGUGCAUGGCCGUUCUUAGUUCGUGGAUCGAUUUGUCUGGUUUAUUCCGAUAACGAGCGAGACUCUAGCCUACUAAAUAGUAACAGGAUUAUCUUCACGAUUGUCUUUUCGGUUGCUUCUUAGAGGGAUUUUCGGUGUUUAGCCGCACGAGAUUGAGCAAUAACAGGUCUGUGAUGCCCUUAGAUGUCCGGGGCUGCACGCGCGCUACACUGGCGAAAUCAGCGUGCUGUAUCCAUUCUCGAAAGGGAUUGGUAAACCCAUGAAAAUUUGCCGUGCUUGGGAUCGGAAAUUGCAAUUAUUUUCCGUGAACGAGGAAUUCCAAGUAAGUGCGAGUCAUCAACUCGCUCUGAUUACGUCCCUGCCCUUUGUA